CCAGGGCCUUGAGCCGGGUAGAGUUCAUGUACAGGUACAAGAUCCCACUUUGGGUCAGCAGACCGCAGGCGUGUGAGAACACGAUGACUCCUCUCUUGUUCAGAUCCGUAGGGUUGAACGAAAACCCUGCGGGGAAGUCCACUAACCGAGAAGAAAACUCCAAAUUUUGAGCUCAUAUGCUGCAUAGGUGGGUUUCUGAUUCCAAAAACACUUCCAAGCUGAUUCUUGGCUGACUCCUUGCAUCCGGCCCAGGGAGUGUGUGCUGUGAAUGGUGUUGACCUAGCCACUCCCCUGUCCUUCCAAAUGAAUCUACUUAUCUUGGAGACUACUUAGAUUUGGAGACUAAACCACUCAACUGCAAGAACUGUGCAGCACCUGAUUCAGUGUGGGAAAGAGAAGAUACGCUCAGGGACUACUUAGUGGCGUCUUCUCAGAAGGGCUGUCCCACUGCAUUUUUCAGCCAUGACAGUCCCUAUUUCCUAACAGUAGUACUUCUGGAUUUGGGCAGUCUGCUCCCCUCAAGAAGGAAAUCCCCUGCAAUUUCCCAGCACUGUCAUGAAGAAUGAAUGAAAUAA
This is a long non-coding RNA of Prionailurus viverrinus (fishing cat), 575 nucleotides long. RefSeq lists it as uncharacterized. Lineage: Eukaryota; Metazoa; Chordata; Mammalia; Carnivora; Felidae. The record is from RefSeq and is a predicted model, not a curated record. The transcript has 3 exons.